GCUUUCAUAGCUCAGAGCACCCGUUUAGUAAGCGGGAGGUCUUGAGUUCGACUCUCAAUGAAAGCA
Molecule: transfer RNA, 66 nt
Rfam family: tRNA
About the family: Transfer RNA (tRNA) molecules are approximately 80 nucleotides in length. Their secondary structure includes four short double-helical elements and three loops (D, anti-codon, and T loops).
Source: Rfam